GCUCAAAUGAUUGAUCAGUUGCCUCAAAUGGAACCAAUUACAUCUGAAGAAAUUUCUGCAGCUGCUUGUGAUGAUGAUCCAGACAGAUUAGAAUUGCCACAACUGUAUAACAAGAUGUGUAAUGUUUUGGAGCAAAACAUUCAUGAAUCAAUUCAGACGUCCCUAACCAACCAAGCAGCCAAUCUUAAGUUGAGGCAGGACCUUCUUCCAUUGGA
This 215-nucleotide unclassified non-coding RNA is filed under the name Hevea brasiliensis (rubber tree). The record is from RNAcentral. Lineage: Eukaryota; Viridiplantae; Streptophyta; Magnoliopsida; Malpighiales; Euphorbiaceae.